AUUUUUUUGAGCAGUGUAUUAUGAAAAUGUAUGAAAACAAAAACUUAUGAAAACAAACAUGUACUUAAUAUAGGUGUUAGGCAUAAGGUUAGCAGUGUGGUUAAGGCAAGGGUUAGGGUUAUGUUUAUAAUCCCAUUUUAAGUAGGGAAAUUGUAGAAAUCGGCAGCCUUUGUGACUUUGUUUCUGUGGUAACUAGUGACGACCUAGAAUUAGCUUGACUCAAGUUACUACCUGAAUGACAUAGAGGUCUUCAUCGACAACGGUAAUGUGUGUAAUGUGAAAAGUUGUAUAAAAAAUAUCAUGGUUUGAUAAACUAGUAGGUUAAUUACCCAGACAAGCAGAUACAAGUGGUAGUCAUUUUGGUUGUGAAGUGCAUUAUCAAAAAGCUUUGUCCUUUUUAUAAUAAAAUUGUAUCACCCUGUCACAGCCUCAGCCAACACCACCUGAUGAGGAAGUACAUUGUUUAUGAGGAUUGCCUGCUGCAGUUGUUUGAGAGAUGUCCAGUUUGAAGCUAAACAUGCAACAUAGAGAAGACCAGCAAGGGGACCCUUAGCAUCAAGCAGACAUGCCUCGCUGUGAGAAUUUCUUUAAAUGGAACAGGGAGGACACUUGAAUCAGUAUCUUUGAUGAGGGGCCAGGAGCUGAUCUAUGCUGCCGUGCCCAUCAAAGGCGCACAGGCUAAAACCUCACCCCCAGCCUCACCUCUUGCCUGCACACCAACGGUCGUCGAUGGGGAGACCAGAAUAAAAUGCAUCUAUGGAGCCGGCACUUGAAGACUUGCAAGAAGAUGUGAUGGAGUCCUGAACGACAGACAGGCUUUAUACUGAUGUCUCUAAAUGGAGAGAGACCUGCCACUCGGCAUUAACAUUUUACUAGACACAACUUUUACUUGUAAAGUGUUUCUUUAUUAUUGAAUGGUAUCAGUCAAUAUUGGGAGGGAGAAACCCUGUGUAUUAUGCACCAGGAUCCGGGAAUUGCUGUUGUAUACAAGACACCACACCGGAAGGUAUGACCACGCUGACAUUUUUGCCAAGGUAACCCCAUUACCACCAGAAACCUCUGGCAUCUCACCAUACAGCUACCUCUAGUUAUUGAACUCAACCUGCGGGAGGUUUUUGUUGUAAUUGAGUGGGGGGAAACAGCUGUGAGAGACUUCAAUCAAAGUUGAUUUCUGAGAGGUGUUGUUUACUCAUCGUAGCUCAUGUAAAGAAUAGAUCAUGUAAACACUUGUGGGUGCACAAAUAUCAUGACAUUCACAUAAAGUUAGACCUUCUAACCGAGAGUUCAAAUGAAUGUGUCUUGAUUUGUAAUAAUGAUGGCCUUUAGAUGAAAUGACAUGGAACUCUUACAGGUUUGUCCACAGUGAAUGAGUUCCACACUGGCAUGAGGGAUCUCUUGCUAUUGCAUUGACAAAGACUGGAUGAUACAGUAGGCAGUAGUCAUUGCUGGGUUACAGCAUUUUUGGUCUCCCCAACAAUGUGUGCUUCUCCUCAACAGCGGUCACUGAAAGACAACAACCUAAAACUCAAGGCCAAAUCUACACUGGAGUUGCUUCCCAAGAAGACAGUGGAUGUUCCCGAGUGUCCAAGUUAGUUUUAAAUCUACUUAAAAAUCUAUGGCAUGACCUGAAAAUGGUUGUCUAGCAAUGAUCAACAACCAAUUUGACCGAGCUUGAAUAAAAAAAGAAUGAUCCAGGUGUGGAAAGCUCUUAGAGAUGUACACAGAAAGACACAGCUGUAAUUGCUGCCAAAGGUGUGAAAACUUAUGUAAAUGAGAAAUUUCUGUAUUUCCUUUUCAAUAAAAUUGCAAAAAAUAUAUAAAACAUGUUUUCACUUUAUCAUUGAGUGUUGAUGGGUCUUUCUGUAAAUUUGUUAAUUUUCAAUUUUUUAAAAUAUUAUAUGGAAAGAAUUUCUUACCAUAAUCUUCAUUCAGUGGGAGAGGAUGAGACGGGAAAGAGAACAUCUGCCUAAAAUAAUUAGCUUCCUCUUUUAAAAUAUCAUUCGGAGAAUCAUAGAUGACUCCGUCUUCAGUAAUGAGUUUCUGCAAAUUCUUUUUGUUAGCGUUCCUGUAUUGGAGAUUCAGGAAGAAUUUUGUGAAUUUUUCUGCAUAUUCCAUCCAAUUUGCUUUAUUUUUGUAAUAGAUUACAUUAGAUCGUUCUUGAAUAAGUUCCUCAAGUUCUUUUUGUUUUUCCUCCAACU
This is a long non-coding RNA of Oncorhynchus tshawytscha (Chinook salmon), 2198 nucleotides long. RefSeq lists it as uncharacterized. NCBI's taxonomy places the organism in Eukaryota, Metazoa, Chordata, Actinopteri, Salmoniformes, Salmonidae. The transcript has 4 exons. The record is from RefSeq and is a predicted model, not a curated record.